CUAUGGCAGGAGGACACACCUGUACGCAGGGGCGGCAGGCGGGGCCCAGGUGAGGAGCCUGCGCUGCGCUGCCCGCCGGUGGAGAAGGAAGAAGGAAGAGUGGAGCCAGGGCGGCGGUUGAAUCCUGGGCCUGACGCCCCUUCCUCUCCUCCGCACUCACUCUCUGGGGGUCAGGUGGCCUGGUGACAGGGUGAGCAGGGCCCAGGCCUGCCAGUCCUGUACUGCCCUGACCAGAGCCCGUGCGCCCCCUGCCGGCAAAGACGAAGAAAGACGCAGAGUGUUAUGUGAGAACGCGCAGGCGCACUCCCCCCUCCCCCAGCCAGGCCCAUGGAGCCUUGACUUUUGCUUCAGUAAUAAAAAUUUAUUGAGAAUUCCUGGGAUGGUGGUUAUUGCCUCCCAACCUUGAGAGAGGAGCCAACGCUGCAGGAAAUCACUGAGAAAUCACACACUGUCCCAACAACCCUGCCAACGCAGGGAGGAGGAAAGUCAUCCCGACCAUGGGUCAGUCUUCAUCUGAGAAGGGGGGGAGGACAGGUACAGAGGGGACCAUCACAUGAUACUGGGGGCAGGGUGGGGGUGUGCUGGACCCCAAGCCGGCUCCUCAAACACCAGGGCAGAAACAGAUCCACUUCUCCGCUGGGGGUGGAGUUCUUGGUCAGCAGGUUCACUUCUUAGUCUUGAGGAGGCUGUCA
This is a long non-coding RNA of Myotis daubentonii (Daubenton's bat), 692 nucleotides long. RefSeq lists it as uncharacterized. The record is from RefSeq and is a predicted model, not a curated record. The transcript has 2 exons. Lineage: Eukaryota; Metazoa; Chordata; Mammalia; Chiroptera; Vespertilionidae.